Hemibagrus wyckioides is the source of this 561-nucleotide non-coding RNA. NCBI's taxonomy places the organism in Eukaryota, Metazoa, Chordata, Actinopteri, Siluriformes, Bagridae. The record is from the annotation of a RefSeq genome assembly.
AUGGGUCAAUCAGCCACAAUAAACUGCUCACACACUAAAGGUGUAUCGUAUGAUCAGAUGUACUGGUUCCGUCAACUUCAUGGAGAGAGCAUGGAGCUCGUAGUGUACUCUCCAACAUACAGCACUCCAGAUUUUGGAAAUUUCAACCAAAAUCUAGGCAUGAACAGACUCAUGUGGAUGUUUUCUCUCAUCAUCCAUUCUUUAACCUGGUCAGCAGUAUUUGCUGUCAGUAAAGAGGUUUUCCAAACUCCUCCUGAUCUGCUCAGGAAGCAUGGGGAAUCUUCAGAGAUUCAGUGCUCUCACAAGAUUUCAGGCUACGAUCGCAUUCUGUGGUAUAAACACACCCGAGACAGAGAGUACCAACUCAUGGGAUACAAUUUUCUUACAAGUUCUCAACUGGAGCCUGAAUUUAACAACCAGGUGACCUUGACAGGGAAUGGAGACAGUAAAGCCACACUGGCCAUAAAAUCCACAAGGUCUAAUGAUAGUGCAGAAUAUUUCUGUGCAGCAUUUGCACAGUGUCUCACAUUUCCUGAUCCCUUUACAAAAACGUUCUCUUAG